AUAGUAUCACUAAUGGUGGCAUGCCCAGCACCCUGGCACGACCUUUGGUGAUGCUACUGAUUAUUUGUCGAUGCUAAUUAGUGUCGCUAAAAGUAUUUACCUACGCUUAUUUUGCAUUGCUAAUUAUCUUUUUAACAAAAAAAAUAAUUAUUUUUAUGAUAAUUUUUAUAAUUUUUUCUAUAAAUCUAUAGAUAAAUAAAUAUAUAUAAUAUAUAUAAUAUGUAUACUACCUUCUUCAUUCGUACGUAUGCCAGA
RNAcentral lists this long non-coding RNA (255 nucleotides) under Elaeis guineensis (African oil palm). RNAcentral's name for it is "long non-coding RNA (EGUI_LNC016279)". Lineage: Eukaryota; Viridiplantae; Streptophyta; Magnoliopsida; Arecales; Arecaceae. The record is from RNAcentral.